AUUCCUACGGGCGGCAGCAGUGGGGAAUAUUGCACAAUGGGCGCAAGCCUGAUGCAGCGACGCCGCGUGGGGGAUGACGGCCUUCGGGUUGUAAACCUCUUUCAGUGGGGACGAAGCGCAAGUGACGGUACCUACAGAAGAAGGACCGGCCAACUACGUGCCAGCAGCCGCGGUAAUACGUAGGGUCCGAGCGUUGUCCGGAAUUACUGGGCGUAAAGAGCUCGUAGGUGGUUUGUCGCGUUGUUCGUGAAAACCGGGGGCUUAACCCUCGGCGUGCGGGCGAUACGGGCAGACUUGAGUACUGCAGGGGAGACUGGAAUUCCUGGUGUAGCGGUGGAAUGCGCAGAUAUCAGGAGGAACACCGGUGGCGAAGGCGGGUCUCUGGGCAGUAACUGACGCUGAGGAGCGAAAGCGUGGGGAGCGAACAGGAUUAGAUACCCUAGUAGUAGAG
RNAcentral lists this ribosomal RNA (451 nucleotides) under uncultured Mycobacterium sp. RNAcentral's name for it is "bacterial SSU rRNA". It matches the Rfam family "Bacterial small subunit ribosomal RNA", at positions 335 to 798 of the family's 1533-position model. Lineage: Bacteria; Bacillati; Actinomycetota; Actinomycetes; Mycobacteriales; Mycobacteriaceae. The record is from RNAcentral.